Molecule: ribosomal RNA, 462 nt
Filed under: uncultured bacterium
Lineage: Bacteria
Description: partial 16S ribosomal RNA
Rfam family: Bacterial small subunit ribosomal RNA
Source: RNAcentral
GACGAACGCUGGCGGCGUGCUUAACACAUGCGAGUCGAACGGAAAGGCCCAGCUUGCUGGGGGCUCGAGUGGCGAACGGGUGAGUAAUGCGUGGGUGAUCUGCCCCUAACUUGGGGAAAAGCUCGGGAAACGGGGUCUAUUACCGGAUAGGACAGUGGUUGAGAGUGGGGGGUGGAAAGUUUUUUCGGUUAGGGAUGAGCCGGCGGCCGAUCAGCUUGUUGGUGGGGUAAUGGCCUACCAAGGCGGCGACGGGUAGCUGGCCGGAGAGGGUGGACGGCCACAUCGCGACUGGGAGGCGGCCGAGGCUCCUAUGGGAGGAAGCAGUGGGGACUAUUGCAGCAUGGGCGCGAGCGUGAUGAAGCGCCGCCGCGUGGGGGAUGACGGCCUUCGGGUUGUAGACCUGUUUCGUCAGGGACGAAGCUUUGGACGUUGUCCACAGAAAAGGAGCCCCGUAACUCUGUG